This 442-nucleotide ribosomal RNA is filed under the name uncultured bacterium. RNAcentral describes it as "partial 16S ribosomal RNA". It matches the Rfam family "Bacterial small subunit ribosomal RNA", at positions 338 to 795 of the family's 1533-position model. The record is from RNAcentral.
CCUACGGGGGGCAGCAGUGGGGAAUAUUGGGCAAUGGGCGCAAGCCUGACCCAGCAACGCCGCGUGAAGGAAGAAGGCUUUCGGGUUGUAAACUUCUUUUAAGAGGGAAGAGCAGAAGACGGUACCUCUUGAAUAAGCCACGGCUAACUACGUGCCAGCAGCCGCGGUAAUACGUAGGUGGCAAGCGUUGUCCGGAUUUACUGGGUGUAAAGGGCGUGCAGCCGGGAAGACAAGUCAGAUGUGAAAUCCCGCGGCUCAACCGCGGAACUGCAUUUGAAACUGUUUUGCUGGAGUAUGGGAGGGGUAAGCGGAAUUCCUGGUGUAGCGGUGAAAUGCGUAGAUAUCAGGAGGAACACCGGUGGCGAAGGCGGCUUACUGGACCAUAACUGACGUUGAGGCUCGAAAGCGUGGGGAGCGAACAGGAUUAGAUACCCCAGUAGUC